GAUGAACGCUGGCGGGCAGGCUUAAUACAUGCAAGUUGAACGGUAACAUGUUGUAGCAAUACGAUGAUGACGAGUGGCGCACGGGUGCGUAACACGUGUGUAACCUACCUUAUACAGGAACAUAACGUUGAGAAAUCGGCGCUAACAUUCCAUAAUAUUAUUUGUAGGCAUCUAUGAAUAAUUAAAACUACCGGUGGUAUAAGAUGGGCACGCGUUCCAUUAGCUAGUUGGUAAGGUAACGGCUUACCAAGGCAACGAUGGAUAGGGGUUCUGAGAGGAUAAUCCCCCACCACUGGAACUGAGACACGGUCCAGACUCCUACGGGAGGCAGCAGUAAGGAAUAUUGGGCAAUGGAGGCAACUCUGACCCAGCCAUGCCGCGUGCAGGAAGACGGCCCUAUGGGUUGUAAACUGCUUUUAAUAGGGAUUAAAGUCGACUACGUGUAGUUGUUUGCAAGUACCUAUAGAAUAAGCAUCGGCUAACUCCGUG
This 489-nucleotide ribosomal RNA is filed under the name uncultured bacterium. Its description in RNAcentral is "bacterial SSU rRNA". It matches the Rfam family "Bacterial small subunit ribosomal RNA", at positions 28 to 507 of the family's 1533-position model. The record is from RNAcentral.